Molecule: ribosomal RNA, 194 nt
Filed under: uncultured Flavobacteriales bacterium
Lineage: Bacteria; Pseudomonadati; Bacteroidota; Flavobacteriia; Flavobacteriales
Description: partial 16S ribosomal RNA
Rfam family: Bacterial small subunit ribosomal RNA
Source: RNAcentral
GGGGAUAGCCUUUCGAAAGGAAGAUUAAUACUCCAUAAUAUAUUGAACGGCAUCGUUUAAUAUUGAAAGCUCCGGCGGAUAGAGAUGGGCACGCGCAAGAUUAGCUAGUUGGUGAGGUAACGGCUCACCAAGGCGAUGAUCUUUAGGGGGCCUGAGAGGGUGAUCCCCCACACUGGUACUGAGACACGGACCAG